RNAcentral lists this ribosomal RNA (500 nucleotides) under Cyanothece sp. HPC-11. RNAcentral's name for it is "bacterial SSU rRNA". It matches the Rfam family "Bacterial small subunit ribosomal RNA", at positions 275 to 788 of the family's 1533-position model. The record is from RNAcentral. Lineage: Bacteria; Bacillati; Cyanobacteriota; Cyanophyceae; Gomontiellales; Cyanothecaceae.
AUCGAUCNGUAGCUGUUUUGAGAGGAAGUCAGCCACACUGGGAUUGAGACACGGNCCCAGACUUCCUACGGGAGGCAGCAGUGGGGAAUUUUCCGCAAUGGGCGAAAGCCUGACGGAGCCAGACCGCGUGAGGGAAGAAAGACUUAGGUUUGUAAACCUCUUUUCUCAAGGAAGAAGAAAUGACGGUACUUGAGGAAUCAGCAUCGGCUAACUCCGUGCCAGCAGCCGCGGUAAGACGGAGGAUGCAAGCGUUAUCCGGAAUUAUUGGGCGUAAAGCGUCCGCAGGUGGUUUUUCAAGUCUGCUGUCAAAGGCGGUAGCUCAACUACCGUAAGGCAGUGGAAACUGAGAGACUAGAGAGUGGUAGGGGUAGAGGGAAUUCCCAGUGUAGCGGUGAAAUGCGUAGAGAUUGGGAAGAACACCGGUGGCGAAAGCGCUCUACUGGACCACAACUGACACUCAGAGGACGAAAGCUAGGGUAGCGAAAGGGAUUAGAUACCCC